Molecule: ribosomal RNA, 619 nt
Filed under: Pseudomonas avellanae
Lineage: Bacteria; Pseudomonadati; Pseudomonadota; Gammaproteobacteria; Pseudomonadales; Pseudomonadaceae
Description: bacterial SSU rRNA
Rfam family: Bacterial small subunit ribosomal RNA
Source: RNAcentral
AGAUCGAACUGUAGAGUUUGAUCCUGGCUCAGAUUGAACGCUGGCGGCAUGCCUUACACAUGCAAGUCGAACGGUAACAGGUCUUCGGACGCUGACGAGUGGCGAACGGGUGAGUAAUACAUCGGAACGUGCCCAGUCGUGGGGGAUAACUACUCGAAAGAGUAGCUAAUACCGCAUACGAUCUGAGGAUGAAAGCGGGGGACCUUCGGGCCUCGCGCGAUUGGAGCGGCCGAUGGCAGAUUAGGUAGUUGGUGGGAUAAAAGCUUACCAAGCCGACGAUCUGUAGCUGGUCUGAGAGGACGACCAGCCACACUGGGACUGAGACACGGCCCAGACUCCUACGGGAGGCAGCAGUGGGGAAUAUUGGACAAUGGGCGAAAGCCUGAUCCAGCAAUGCCGCGUGCAGGAUGAAGGCCUUCGGGUUGUAAACUGCUUUUGUACGGAACGAAAAAGCUUCUCCUAAUACGAGAGGCCCAUGACGGUACCGUAAGAAUAAGCACCGGCUAACUACGUGCCAGCAGCCGCGGUAAUACGUAGGGUGCGAGCGUUAAUCGGAAUUACUGGGCGUAAAGCGUGCGCAGGCGGUUAUGUAAGACAGAUGUGAAAUCCCCGGGCUCAA